GACGAACGCUGGCGGCGUGCCUAAUACAUGCAAGUAGAACGCUGAAGGAGGAGCUUGCUUCUCUGGAUGAGUUGCGAACGGGUGAGUAAUGCGUAGGUAACCUGCCUGGUAGCGGGGGAUAACUAUUGGAAACGAUAGCUAAUACCGCAUAAGAGUAGAUGUUGCAUGACAUUUGCUUAAAAGGUGCAAUUGCAUCACUACCAGAUGGACCUGCGUUGUAUUAGCUAGUUGGUGGGGUAACGGCUCACCAAGGCGACGAUACAUAGCCGACCUGAGAGGGUGAUCGGCCACACUGGGACUGAGACACGGCCCAGACUCCUACGGGAGGCAGCAGUAGGGAAUCUUCGGCAAUGGACGGAAGUCUGACCGAGCAACGCCGCGUGAGUGAAGAAGGUUUUCGGAUCGUAAAGCUCUGUUGUAAGAGAAGAACGAGUGUGAGAGUGGAAAGUUCACACUGUGGCGGUAUCUUACCAGAAAGGGACGGCUAACUACGUG
RNAcentral lists this ribosomal RNA (495 nucleotides) under uncultured bacterium. RNAcentral's name for it is "partial 16S ribosomal RNA". It matches the Rfam family "Bacterial small subunit ribosomal RNA", at positions 28 to 507 of the family's 1533-position model. The record is from RNAcentral.